CAGUCGCCGCGGUAAUACGUAGGGUGCGAGCGUUAAUCGGAAUUACUGGGCGUAAAGCGUGCGCAGGCGGUUGUGUAAGACAGGUGUGAAGUCCCCGGGCUUAACCCGGGAACUGCGCUUGUGACUGCACAGCUAGAGUAUGGCAGAGGGGGGUGGAAUUCCACGUGUAGCAGUGAAAUGCGUAGAGAUGUGGAGGAACACCGAUGGCGAAGGCAGCCCCCUGGGCCAAUACUGACGCUCAUGCACGAAAGCGUGGGGAGCAAACAGGAUUAGAUACCCCCGUAGUCCCUGUCUCUUAUAC
RNAcentral lists this ribosomal RNA (301 nucleotides) under uncultured bacterium. RNAcentral describes it as "partial 16S ribosomal RNA". It matches the Rfam family "Bacterial small subunit ribosomal RNA", at positions 509 to 807 of the family's 1533-position model. The record is from RNAcentral.